ACUAGCUCUCCCAGCUGCUGUAAUUGCUGCUGCGGGAGAAAUUGGAGCUGCUGUCGCCGGCACGCCCGCCCUCCCCCACUGAGAAGAGCCACCGCCUCUUCUCCUGCGCUCCUUAUACACCUAUCGCCGGGAGCGGCGGCAGCAACAGUCCUUGGACUCACUGCCGCCUCCUCAGACAGCCGCUCUGCGGUUCAUUCCCGCAGCCCGGCAACUGAGGGCGGCCCCCUUUCCCUAGCCGGCUUCUCACUCCAGAUCGUUUGCUCCCUCCUUAACCUCGCCUGGGACCCACCUCCCCAUAGUCUCGUCGAGGUGGAGGACGAAGAGGAGGAGACGGGAGAGUCACCCUUCCUCCGUGCCGGCCCCCUCACCCGCGGGUGUGUCCUAUAAAUGGCGUCGGAAAGCGACACCGAGGAAUUCUAUGAUGCCCCUGAAGAUGUGCACCCUGUAGGGUAAGUAACGAAGCUAUAUGGCCCAAAAGCCGG
RNAcentral lists this long non-coding RNA (482 nucleotides) under Marmota monax (woodchuck). Lineage: Eukaryota; Metazoa; Chordata; Mammalia; Rodentia; Sciuridae. The record is from RNAcentral.